Molecule: ribosomal RNA, 818 nt
Filed under: Bdelloidea sp. MS-2017
Lineage: Eukaryota; Metazoa; Rotifera; Eurotatoria
Description: SSU rRNA
Rfam family: Eukaryotic small subunit ribosomal RNA
Source: RNAcentral
ACAUCCAAGGAAGGCAGCAGGCGCGCAAAUUACCCACUCUCAAAACGAGGAGGUAGUGAAGAGAAAUAACGAUGUUAGUCUUUUAUAGGCUGACAAUCGGAAUGGGAACACUGUAAACAGGUUAUCGAUUAACAAUUGGAGGGCAAGUCUGGUGCCAGCAGCCGCGGUAAUUCCAGCUCCAAUAAGGAAAACUAAAGUUGCUGUGUUUAAAAAGCUCGUAGUUGAAUUUCGGGUAUUUGUUGCUAGCUGGUCUUACUGGCCAUGUUGGUUAACAGAUCCUCAUUUGCUGGACGGCUGGCGAUGAUCUUUAUCGAUUGUCGUUAGUUGCCAGAACGUUUACUUUGAGAAAAUUAGAGUGCUAAAAGCAGGCUCACGCCUAUAUAUAUUGCAUGGAAUAAUGAAAUAAGAUCUCGAUUUUAUUUCGUUGGUUUUAGAAAUUGAGAUAAUGAUUAAUAGGAUCAGAGGGGGGCGUACGUACUGUGGUGUGAGAGGUGAAAUUCUUGGAUCGCCACAGGACGAACAGCAGCGAAGGCGUUCGCCAAGAAUGUUUUCAUUAAUCAAGAACGAAAGUUUGAGGUUCGAAGACGAUUAGAUACCGUCCUAGUUCAAACCAUAAACGUUGCCAACUGUCUUUUAGAUGCGGUUAUUUACAUGACUCAUCUGGCGGAUCUCGAGAAAUCUAAGUUUUUAGGUUCCGGGGGAAGUAUGGUUGCAAAGCUGAAACUUAAAAGAUUGACGGAAGGACACACAGAAGUGGAGCCUGUGGCCUAAUUUGACUCAACACGGGAAACCUUACUCGGCCAGGACACUUUGAGGAU